GUUUAGCUAACGAACGUGGAACGCCGAAGCGGAUGAAAAACGAACCGUUUCGCACCAAAUUCCUGACUAUUUGUAGCUUUAGCUUUCCCGAAUGAAGAAAUCGUGACGUUCAUUGCCUCACCGACACUGUUAUGAACUAUACGUUAUACAUUAUAAUCGCAUUGUGGUUUUAGAGUGCCUUUCAUGCUUUAUCGAAUUGAUAUAACUAUUGAUAACGUAUCAUGGGUAGGACGUUAGUCGCGGAUGGGUAUAGCUCGGAUAAAGGUGCCAUCGAAUGAAUCCAGUACAUUAGUGCAAUGAGUGUCUAAUACACAGUAGCUACAUCUUCUUGUAGUGCCUAGUUUUGUGUAAUUAUUUUUAAGUUAAAUUAUUUAUAAUGAAGGACUCCGACGGAAAUGGGUGGCAACUGAAACCAGGUGACAAGGAGAAUGGCAACAAGUUGCCAGACCCUUUAAAUGGAGAGUUCCCGAAAGGAAAAGACUCGGACACAAGUUCAGAAGCCGAUAGCAAGGCAGAUGAAGUCCCAAGCAUAGCAUUUAUUACACUGUUCAGAUUCGCGACGAAAAAGGACAAAAUAUUCAUAGUUUGUGCGUUAAUAUGCUCAGUAGUGGCAGCAUGUUCUACGCCAAUCAACACAUUACUGCUAGCGUUCUUACUAGAUGCUAUGGUAGAGUAUGGAAGUUCUAUCAGAGAUGGGACACCGGACCCUGACACCUUCUUAGAAGCAUUGAUGUUCUUUGCUAUUUAUAAUACCGUCACUGGAGUCGUGCUCAUCGUCCUCUCGUAUGCCGCCACCGUGCUGAUGAAUAUAGCCGCAUAUCACCAAGUACAUGUAAUACGACAAGAAUACUUAAAAGCAGCACUAAACCAAGAUUUUGCGUAUUACGAUAUACAUAAGAACGCUGACAUAGCUUCCAAAAUUAACAGCGAUGUAGUGAAACUAGAAGAUGGUAUAGGCGAAAAGCUGGCCACUUUCGUGUUCUACCAGGCAGCUUUCUUCAGUAGUGUCAUCAUGGCUCUUGUCAAAGGAUGGAAGCUGGCUCUGCUAUGUCUCAUAUCAUUCCCUGUCACUUUGACGCUUGUCGGUGUCGCUGGACUGGUUGGUGCCAGAUUUGGUAAGAAAGAGGCCAUAGCCUCCGGCAAGGCUGGUGCCAUAGCCGAGGAAGUUAUAUCUGCCAUACGUACAGUGUACGCCUUCAGCGGCCAGUCCAAGGAGAUGGUGAGGUACGAGGGACAUCUCAGAGAAGCCAGGAAAAUCAACAUCAAGAAAGGCUUCUUCAACGGCCUGGCCAUGGGACUGUUAUUCUUCUGUAUCUUCUGCGCAUAUGCCCUCUCCUUCUGGUUCGGCUACAGGCUGUUGUCCACUGAUGAUGACUAUGAUAUUUCUACUAUGAUAGCGGUAUUCUUCGGUGUGAUGACUGGUUCGGCAAACUUCGGCAUAUCGUCGACUUUGAUGGAGGUGUUCGGGUCUGCCCGAGGCGCAGGGGCCCAGAUCUUUAACAUGAUCGACAAUAUUCCCACUAUUAACCCCCUGCUGAAUAGAGGAACAACGCCCCCUAAUAUUCAAGGAAACAUCGAGUUGAAGAACGUUAUUUUCCAUUACCCAUCCAGACCUGACGUUCCGGUACUGAAGGGAAUAAAUAUCAGCGUGAAACGAGGCCAGUCUGUGGCAUUGGUCGGCCACUCCGGCUGCGGGAAAUCUACCAUCAUACAGCUGAUCUCUAGGUUCUAUGACGUCAUUGAUGGCAGUGUGGCAAUCGACGGGCAUGAUGUCCGCGACUUAUCUGUCCGAUGGCUGCGAGACCAAAUCGGUCUCGUGGGACAAGAACCCGUACUUUUCAACACCACAGUCAGGGAGAACAUUCGCUAUGGGCGUGAGAACUGCACCAAUGAGGAGAUUGAAGCCUGCGCUAGACAGGCUAACGCGCAUCAGUUCAUUAUGAGACUGCCGAAGGGUUACGAUACAUUAGUCGGAGAACGAGGAGCGUCUUUGUCAGGAGGUCAGAAACAGCGUAUUGCUAUUGCGCGUGCACUCGUGAGGAACCCCAAAAUACUGCUAUUGGACGAGGCCACUAGUGCUCUUGAUACCUCUUCAGAGGCCAGAGUACAGAAGGCUCUCGAUAAGGCUCAAAAAGGUCGCACAACUCUAGUGGUAGCUCACAGAUUGUCGACCAUCCGAAAUGUGGAUGUCAUAUACGUAUUCAAGAGCGGUGUAGUGGUUGAACGCGGCAACCAUGACGAGCUGAUGUCGCAGAAGGGACAUUACUAUGAUAUGGUCAUGCUGCAGAACCUAGGAGCUGAAGAUACUAAUGAUAAGUCAAGACUCAUGCGGGAAACGUCGGAAACAAGUGUAGACGACGAAGAGGAUGAAGAAGAAUUUCUCGAUUUUAAAACUGGAGACACAGAAGACGACGUGGACAACGUUCCAGACAUUUCGUUCUGGAGAGUUCUGCGGCUCAACAAGCCGGAGUGGAAGAGCGUCAGUCUCGCCAGUAUUUGUUCGCUCAUGAGUGGCUUCAGUAUGCCUCUGUUCGCUGUCAUAUUUGGAGACUUCCUCGCCAUUCUAUCUGACCCGGACCCUGCUGUGGUUUUGAAUGAAGUGCGUAAAAUCGCGUUGAUAUUUGUCGGCAUUGGUGUCUUCUCUGGAAUCACUAACUUCAUCGUGGUAUUCUUCUACGGUAUUGCGGGCGAAUACUUGACGGAGAGGCUGCGGCAGAUGAUGUUCAAGAAACUGCUAGAACAAGAGGUCGGCUUCUAUGAUGACAAGGACAACUCGACUGGAGCUCUUUGUGCGCGACUGUCCGGCGAAGCUGCUACUGUGCAAGGAGCUACCGGCCAAAGGAUUGGCACAGUGGUCCAAGCAGUAGGAACGUUUGGUUUCGCGCUAGUACUAUCUCUGGUGUACGAGUGGCGCGUGGGACUGGUGGCGCUGACCUUCGUGCCUGUCAUCGUUUUCGUGUUGUAUAAGCAAGGCAGGAUGACAUACAAGGCCUCCUUUGGAACUGCUAAGACUAUGGAGAAGAGUUCUAAGAUUGCUGUGGAAGCCGUAGCCAACGUUCGGACAGUAGCAUCCUUGGGUCGCGAGGACACCUUCCGACGGGAAUACGAGAAGCAGUUGAACCCCGCACUGCAGGAGGCCAUCAAGGCCUCGCACUACCGAGGCCUCGUGUUCGGUCUCUCUAGAGGAAUAUUCAACUUCGUGAUCGCCGCGUCGCUGUACUACGGAGGAACGCUCAUUGUUAGCGAGGACAUCCCCUACGACGUGGUGUUUAAGUCUGCACAAGCCCUAUUGAUGGGAUCAUCGUCGGCCGCACAAGCGUUUGCGUUCGCGCCGAACUUCCAGAAGGGAAUCAAGGCGGCCGGCCGCAUCAUCAUGCUGCUCAACCGACAGUCCAAAAUCACGGACCCCGUGCGACCUGCUGUACAUAACUUUAAAGGCACAGGUGAAGCCAGUCUCCAAGGCAUCAAGUUCUGCUACCCGACGCGGCCGAUGAUACAGGUCCUCAAAGGCUUGCAGUUGGAGAUACAGCGCGGCAAGACGCUGGCCCUCGUCGGCGCCAGCGGCUGCGGGAAGAGCACUGUUAUACAGCUGCUCGAGAGAUACUAUGAUCCUGAUGAGGGUAUAGUGGCUCAAGACGGCGUACCUCUCCCGAAGCUGCGCCUCGUAGACAGUCGUCGCGCGAUCGGCUUCGUGCAACAAGAGCCGAUUCUAUUCGACCGCACCAUCGGCGAGAAUAUCGCGUACGGCAACAACGAGCAGAAAGUCACGCAGGACGAAAUCAUACAGGCUGCUAAACAGGCUAACAUACACAACUUUAUUUCGUCACUGCCGCUGGGCUACGACACAAACAUCGGCGCUAAAGGCACACAGUUGUCGGGCGGACAGAAGCAGCGCGUGGCUAUCGCUCGUGCUCUCAUACGCAGACCCAAGAUGUUGCUGCUCGACGAGGCCACCAGCGCACUUGAUACUGAGAGCGAAAAGGUGGUACAAGAAGCCCUAGACGCAGCUAAAGCUGGUCGCACAUGCGUGAUGAUCGCGCAUAGACUGAGCACAGUUCGCGACGCUGACGUCAUCUGCGUCAUACACGACGGCUUAGUCGCAGAAACCGGCACCCACACAGAACUCAUAGAGCGCAAGGGGCUCUACUACAACCUCAAUAGAAGAGGCUACGCUUAACUUUAAUAUAGGCUUAAUUUACGUGAUAAUAUUGUUAAGAAUAAAUAAUAAAAAAAGUGUUGCCGUAGCAAAAAUGUUUGAUGUCACUUACCACGUUGUUCUAGUUAAGAAACGCGUGAGGCGUCUCAAAUGCUGUGUGUGAUAAUUUAUUUGAAGCAUUUUUGCAUUAUUAAAAAAAAAUCUAUAAGUGAUAUUGAAGUGUACCACCAGUUUAUAUAGCAAUUUAAAGAAUAAAUAAAAAAAUAUAUUUAAAAUAAGUGUUACCUAAGCAAAAAUGUUUAAUGUUGUUUACCACGUCGUGCUACUUAAGAGGCGAGUUAGACGUCUCAAUUGUUGUGUGUGAUAAUUUCGAAGCAUUUAUGCGAUAUUUAAAAAAAUAUUCUAUUAGUGAUAUCGAAUUGUACAACCAGUUUUUAUCACAAUUUAAUGAAUUUAAAAUUCCUCAUGUGAUAAUAAUAAUUACACCUUCUCAGUGUUUGUACUUACGUAUUAACUGCCAAGAACCAGGAGAAACUGUAAGCAAUUGUAAAUAAAUAGGAUUUUAUAGUUGACCUUUAGUUGAGAUUUACAUAUUGAAUUGAUAGUUCUAUGGAAACGAAACGAUUUCCGUAGAUAUUUUUAACUAAAUGCCUACCUGCCUAAUUAUGUUAAAUAAAUAUCUAUAUUUUUUGUUAAA
RNAcentral lists this unclassified non-coding RNA (4853 nucleotides) under Helicoverpa zea (corn earworm). Its description in RNAcentral is "aTP-dependent translocase ABCB1, transcript variant X2". Lineage: Eukaryota; Metazoa; Arthropoda; Insecta; Lepidoptera; Noctuidae. The record is from RNAcentral.